CAGCCGCCGCGGUAAUACGUAGGUGGCAAGCGUUGUCCGGAAUUAUUGGGCGUAAAGGGCUCGCAGGCGGUUUCUUAAGUCUGAUGUGAAAGCCCCCGGCUCAACCGGGGAGGGUCAUUGGAAACUGGGGAACUUGAGUGCAGAAGAGGAGAGUGGAAUUCCACGUGUAGCGGUGAAAUGCGUAGAGAUGUGGAGGAACACCAGUGGCGAAGGCGACUCUCUGGUCUGUAACUGACGCUGAGGAGCGAAAGCGUGGGGAGCGAACAGGAUUAGAUACCCCAGUAGUCCCUGUCUCUUAUAC
Molecule: ribosomal RNA, 301 nt
Filed under: uncultured bacterium
Lineage: Bacteria
Description: partial 16S ribosomal RNA
Rfam family: Bacterial small subunit ribosomal RNA
Source: RNAcentral